Molecule: long non-coding RNA, 1253 nt
Filed under: Monodelphis domestica (gray short-tailed opossum)
Lineage: Eukaryota; Metazoa; Chordata; Mammalia; Didelphimorphia; Didelphidae
Description: lncRNA (ENSMODG00000041137.1)
Source: RNAcentral
AGCAUAAUUCUACAGGCUUAUGUUCUUUGAGAGGCUGUGACUACUUACCAAAUUUCCAUAUCCAGAAGCAGUGGUCUCCAUAAUGCUGAGCAGAAAACAGGAAACUGAGAUCAGGCAAUCCUUACCUGUGCUCUCGCUCAUCUCUUCCCGACCCACCCGGGCCCAGCAGACCUUCGAGCAGAUGGCUCAUUGCCCCGGACCCAGACUGUUGGUAGCAUACCUAAUUUCUUCAGGAUCAAAAACCAGCUGGUAAAAAAUGGGGGUGAUUUUUUCUUUAGGCUACAAUUAGCCUCUAUGUGGACUGGGGGCAGCAGAUCACAGGGGGGAAGAAAGAAAGAAGGAAGAGCCUUUUCCAAACAGGAACUUAAGGCAUAGCUUCAUUAAAAGGAUAUCUUUUGACUGCAUUGAUACUUUAAUUUAUUUCUCCUGAGUGCCAGGGGAAAAAUUCAGCUCCCUGCAACUCUUUAGCCAAAUUUGAGAUUCCUCACUUUGGGGAGGCAACUCAGUGGCUCAGUGAAUUGAGAGCCAAGCCUCGAGACAGGAAGUCCUGGGUUAAAUCUGGUCUCAGACACUUCCUGGUGGUGUGGCCCUGGACAGGUCAUUUAACCCCCAUUGCCUACCACUUACCAAUUUUCUGCCUUCUGACAAUAGGCAUCUAAAUGGAUUAAAAAAGAAAACCCAAGGAACUUUAAAGAGACUGGAAGUUAUAUUUUUAAUGCACUUCAGACUCCAAUGUUUUGUAAAAAUCUCUGUAUUUUAUUGCAUUUUGCUGAUUGUUUUGUUUAAGGUUUAACUUUGUGAUUUUAAGUCCAUAUAUUACUGCAUUCAAUACUAUUCUGUUACACUGAAUCCCUUUAACGUACUAUGUUUUAACUGAUGUUAUAGACUGUUACUUUUCCCCUAUAACCAUAUUGAACAAACAUUAUUGAGUAGGCCCAUAUAAAAACAGCUUUUCUAUUUUUGACUUUUUAAAUUGUCACAUAGAGGAUAGAUGGACUCCAUCAGAAAAUUGCUACAACAACCUUUGGAAAAUUUAAUGAGCUAAAUAUCUCAAAUUGAUUUAAGGGUCCUUUAGACAUGAUUUUUAGAAUUUUUCUUAACAAUCUCUGGUCAUUUUGCCUGCCCCUAACACAAGGUAAGGCCCAUUUUAGUAGCUGAAGUGAAAUACAAUUAUAAACCCCAACUCCCGCAUUUAUAAAAAUAUGAAUGGAAGUUGGGAAGUUAAUCCCAGGGCAUUGUACCCCUAGAAGCCU